AGCAGUAGCCACGGUAGUACGUAGGGUGCGAGCGUUAAUCGGAAUUACUGGGCGUAAAGCGUGCGCAGGCGGUUCGUUAAGACAGGUGUGAAAUCCCCGGGCUUAACCUGGGAACUGCAUUUGUGACUGGCGAGCUAGAGUAUGGCAGAGGGGGGUAGAAUUCCACGUGUAGCAGUGAAAUGCGUAGAGAUGCGGAGGAAUACCGAUGGCGAAGGCAGCCCCCUGGGCCAAUACUGACGCUCAUGCACGAAAGCGUGGGGAGCAAACAGGAUUAGAUACCCGCGUAGUCCCUGUCUCUUAUAA
Molecule: ribosomal RNA, 303 nt
Filed under: uncultured bacterium
Lineage: Bacteria
Description: partial 16S ribosomal RNA
Rfam family: Bacterial small subunit ribosomal RNA
Source: RNAcentral